CGAGUAGCAGCGUGUAGAACUGAGAAGUGAGAGUAGGACUCGGCGAGUUGGGUGGCCCAACUCGGCGAGUCAGCCCCAAAAGUAAGUUGACUUUGACCAAGGGUAAAAGAGUCAUUUUACCCCAAGUGCAGUGUUUAGUAUUUGAUUGAGUGUGUUCAUGGGCUUGUAGCCGAGGAGAUUCAGGAGCAGCAGCCGGUAGCUUUCAGAGACACACACUCAGCCGCCAGUUAGCGAGGUGAGUUUCCUUCAAGAAGGGACGGGUCUAAGGCCGCCAUGCCGGCCCGUCCAGUUAGCAGUAGUUUCCGGACUUCGGUCCGAUGUAGCAGCUAGAAUGUUUGAUGCCUUCGUGGCUCAGACAGGAUUUAUGUGCUAUGUUUUAUGUGUUACGUGUUAUGUGUUCCGGGCUACGGCUCGAUGUAGUAUGCAGUAUAUGUGUUCAUGCUAGUUGAUAUGCUAUGAUAUGUUCAGUCAGUUAGUUCCGGACUCCGGUCCGAUGCAGGGGACAAGGUCCCAGUUAGUUCCGGACUUCGGUCCGAUGCAGUUAGUUCCGGACUUCGGUCCGAUGCAGUUAGUUCCGGACUUCGGUCCGAUGCAGUUAGUUCCGGACUUGGGUCCGAUGCAGGGGACAAGGUCCCAGUCAGUUCCGGAUUUUGGUCCGAUGCAGUUUCCGGGCUUCGGCCCGAUGCAGUGGGCAAGGCCCAAUAUGUGUUAUAUGCUAUUGUAUGGUAUGUGGUAUUUUGGGGGAGCUCACUAAGCUUCGUGCUUACAGUUUCAGUUUUGGUUUCAGGUACUUCCGCAAGCAAAGGGAAGAGCUCGGGAUGAUGGCAUCGCACACACCACCGCCUCAGCUUUAGCCUGGGAUUGAUUUAGAUGUUUUGAUCUGAUGUAGUAUGAUACAGUUUUCCGCACAGUAUUUUAUUAUGUUUUGGAAUACAUCACGCAUGGUUUUAUUAUAUGAUGCUCUGCUUACAGUUUUGAUUAUAUUAAGAACAAAAAUUUUUGGGUCGUGUUUUUGGGUCGUUUCAAUCCAACUCUAGGUUUGCAUGCACACAUUGGAUCCUAGCCUCGAUGUUUCAUUUGGGUGUCACAUCAAGGAUUCUAAUCAACUUAACUUGAAUUUUCUCCCGUUUUGUAGAUGUCUAGUUAUGAUAAUCAUGGUCUUCCCAAAUUCCAUGGAACAAGCUUUCCAAAUGAAGAUGAUNNNNNNNNNNNNNNNNNNNNNNNNNNNNNNNNNNNNNNNNNNNNNNNNNNNNNNNNNNNNNNNNNNNNNNNNNNNNNNNNNNNNNNNNNNNNNNNNNNNNNNNNNNNNNNNNNNNNNNNNNNNNNNNNNNNNNNNNNNNNNNNNNNNNNNNNNNNNNNNNNNNNNNNNNNNCAUGUUGGGUGUCGAGAUUUCAAGUGAGUUGGCUGUUGACUGGGUUCUUCAGUCACUUCCUGAAUCAUAUAGUGAGUUCGUUAGAGAGUACUAUAUGAUGGAUCACGACGUGACCCUCAUUGAUCUCACCUAUUUGCUUAUAGUUGUUGAAUCAACAAUGAUUUGGCGUGCUGGUCAAGCAAAUUUGUCUGGUGAGUCAAACUCCCAAACUGCAAUGGGCACUGGCAACAUCGGAAGUCUAGAAAGAACUAAGUCUAAGAUUGUCCGAUGUGAUGUGCCAAAGGAGUCCAUUUGCUUUUAUUACCAAGAAAAGGGGCAUUGGAAACGAAACUGCCCUAACUACCUGAGAAAUCUAAGAGAUGGGAGAGUCAAGAUGCAUGGCUCUGCUUCAGUUAAAAUCCAUUAACAAACUCUUUUAAGUUCCUAUUCUAGAUUCUUAAUACAUGAUGUGAUAAGAUUACAUUUUGAUGUUUUGUAGGAUCGAAGAAAAGAGAGGAAGCUUAAGGGAAGAAGUGAGCUGAAUCUAAUCGUGAAGAAAUGGAUUUCGAUCNNNNNNNNNNNNNNNNNNNNNNNNNNNNNNNNNNNNNNNNNNNNNNNNNNNNNNNNNNNNNNNNNNNNNNNNNNNNNNNNNNNNNNNNNNNNNNNNNNNNNNNNNNNNNNNNNNNNNNNNNNNNNNNNNNNNNNNNNNNNNNNNNNNNNNNNNNNNNNNNNNNNNNNNNNNNNNNNNNNNNNNNNNNNNNNNNNNNNNNNNNNNNNNNNNNNNNNNNNNNNNNNNNNNNNNNNNNNNNNNNNNNNNNNNNNNNNNNNNNNNNNNNNNNNNNNNNNNNNNNNNNNNNNNNNNNNNNNNNNNNNNNNNNNNNNNNNNNNNNNNNNNNNNNNNNNNNNNNNNNNNNNNNNNNNNNNNNNNNNNNNNNNNNNNNNNNNNNNNNNNNNNNNNNNNNNNNNNNNNNNNNNNNNNNNNNNNNNNNNNNNNNNNNNNNNNNNNNNNNNNNNNNNNNNNNNNNNNNNNNNNNNNNNNNNNNNNNNNNNNNNNNNNNNNNNNNNNNNNNNNNNNNNNNNNNNNNNNNNNNNNNNNNNNNNNNNNNNNNNNNNNNNNNNNNNNNNNNNNNNNNNNNNNNNNNNNNNNNNNNNNNNNNNNNNNNNNNNNNNNNNNNNNNNNNNNNNNNNNNNNNNNNNNNNNNNNNNNNNNNNNNNNNNNNNNNNNNNNNNNNNNNNNNNNNNNNNNNNNNGUCAUGAUUUACUAAAGGUUUAGUAAAUAUGAUUAUACUUAUAAGAUUAAGUGUAAUUCUGAAUUGAUUGAAAGAGUUUAAAUCAAUAGCAGAACGAAUAAGAAGAAUCAAGUAGGCAGAAAGAUAAAAGUUUCUCUAUUCUAAGAAGAAGGGAGAGUACCUUUUAUUAUGUUUUAUGAUAGGUCUUAAUGAUUAAGAACCAUAUCUCAAUUGAUCCUCUAAAUGAGUCUUAGUACAAUUGUAUGUCUGAGAAGAGGAAUCAAGAAUUGAAGAAAUUGUUAAAUCAAGAAGUCAAUCAUACUUCGUUCCAAAACAAGUCUUAGAGUUAAGAUUGUGACAUUGAGUGACAAGUAUUAAGUAGGUUUAUAACAUUCAUCAAAUGUGGAANUUGUGAUGUACUGGAUAAGACAAAGACCAACUAGCACCAAUUUUGUGAAGUGUUUUGUCUUGAUAAAAGCUACACUAACUCUUGAAUAUUUGUUUGUCGAGAAAUGUUUAUUGACAAGAGAAUAUUAUAUGUCAAGGAGUCAAUGGGAGUCUUAAUGGUCUUGAAAAGUUCAUGAACUAAUCAAGAAUAAACUUUAUCGAUCAUCACUAGCACACAACUUGAGGUUCACAACCUAUCGUGUUGACACUAUCUUGUUUCUGUGCCGUUCCAAUUGAGUUAAUUAUGCAUGUGAGUUAUAUGAGUUCUCAUUCGAACGCAUAAAAGGCAAGCACCUUGGUCAAUGAAAAGUACAUUGAUGGGAAAGGAUGAGCUGCUUAACUACUUGGAAGACAUGGUGGGCACUCGUGUUACCAUAAGGCAAGAAAUCAAGAUUGAGAAAGUUCGGUCCAUAUAAGUUUGGAUUUGUCGCAAACUUUGGUUUUGACAAAUUCGCAUGGAUAGGAACACAUACACCAUUAAAAUCUAAGUGUCAUAAGAUUCCCUCCUUCAUGAAAAUGACUGUGAGGAAAUGCUAUCACUAAGAGAGAUUUUAAGAAGAUAGUGAUUGUGAAAAUUGUAUUCUCGAAUUCGAUUAUGGUUAUGGUAUCCCUUUCCAUGAUUUGAAUUGUGAGAUUUGGCAAUUAGUUUGAAUUGUUUAGACACACAUAUGAGCUAUCUAAGGCAAAGGUGUAUAAGUUUGAGAAGCUUAGAUAAAGGAUUAUCAAAGCAUUAGGUAUUAGAAAUAUGAACUUAAGAAAUUCAAUAGGUAUUGUUUUCUGGAAGUUAAGUUGUUUUCUGAAUACAUGUCAAAGCUAGUGGGAGCAUAAGUUCAUAUAAUUAUAAUAUUAUUCAACUUUACACAAGAAACAAAAACAAAUUAUUUAGUUGUGAUUUGAAAUUUAUAAACAACUACUAAUAAGAUAUAUAUGAUAGUUAAAUAUUUUAUAGAUAGAAAACUUUUCAGAGAAAAUGCAUAUUAAUGUUUUUUUAUCGGGUGAAACGUUUUGAACCUAUUUGAAAAAAUAAAUUACAAAUUUAAUAAAUAACUAUAGAUAUAUAUUACAAAUAAUUAAAUAAUAAAUAUUUAUUCAGUUUUUUUGGAGUAUUCGGUUCUUAUUUUAUAAACCAAAACCAAUUCGAAAUUCAAAAUAAUAAUUCGGUUUGUUGAAAACCAAUCCAAAAAUCCGAAUAUCCGAACCAAAUAGUCCAAUUGGACAAUUCGGUUUUAUCCAAAUAGUCCAAUUGGACAAUUCGGUUUUAUCCAAAUAGUGAACAUCCCUAGGCCUCAAACUAGAGCAACACCCAAGUAAAAAGGAAUUGCUAGCUAAAAAGCUUUAAUAGCAACCUUAGAAGUAGCAACCAACUUGGAAACUUUGANNNNNNNNNNNNNNNNNNNNNNNNNNNNNNNNUAUAUAUAUAUAUAUAUAUAUAUAUAUGUGUGUGUGUGUGUGUGUGUUAUAUUAUUAUUUAGUAGUGUUGCGCAAAUUAAGAUUAAUCGUGGAUUAAUUGUUUUGACGUUUUACAACUGAUUACGAUUAGGGGUGCUUGAUUGUUUGGCGUAAAACGGUCAACAUCGGGCUUGGCGCUCUUGGCGUUCGUCUUGGCACUCUCGAUGUUCAACAAAAGUUAACGUUUUUUUACCUAAAUUAUGAAAAAAAAUCCAAAUUUUUAUUUUUUGAACAAUAAAAUCUCAUUAUUUAAUAUUUAGCCCAAAUAAAUGACAAUGUUCUUUUUUUAAACAUGAUUUGACAAAUUAUCGCGGAAGAUUAGAUAAUUGAGACUUUUCGAUUAAAAAAAUAAAAGUUUGGACUUUUUCACAAACUUGGACAAAAUAAUGUGACUUUUUUAAUAAUAACUCUUCAAAUAUUAUACCAUGAUUUUCAUAUUUUCAUAAAAUAUUUUCAUAUUUUCAUAAUAUAUUUUCUUAUUAUACCAAAAUUUCAACGAAAUACUUCUUUUUCUUAAGAUAUAUUAAUUUUGAAUAUGCGAGAGUGGGUCUGGUUGCAAUCUUCUGAAUGCUGAGGAGAGCAAAGAAUGGAUCGCAUUCACUUUUAAGUCCCUCCCCAAACUCAUUUUACGAGGAAUAACCAAGUGCGAUAAAGAGCAAGCGAAAACCAACCCUUGGCAUGAUUCGGUUUGAGCAACGGAUCCUGACGUGAUACAUCUUCGUAAUGAAAAUUGAGUGUAAACAUUCUUUUUUUUUCUUUCCCAAUAUCGAUACAAUGAGCACUGUGAACUAUCUGCUUCAAAAAAGAUAGUUGUAAAAACAUCAGAGCAAUAUAUCGUAUUUUAUUAAUAAAUUAUGGUCACAGAUUAAUUUUUAACCUCAGUCAACCGUCGAACUAUCGCAGAACAAUUUUUACAACCUUGUUAUCCAGUUAAAGUAAACUUGAAUACAUAAAAAUCACAAAUUUAUAUAUUUAUAUCAAAUACAUCAAGUUUUUAGAAAUGCUAUCCCAACAACUAAUAACAAAAACUUAAUCGUUUUACGUCCGAUAAGAAAAAGCCAAAAAAAUUAACAAAAAAUAUGUUCCUUGAAAAAAAAAUACUCCCGCCAUAACAUAUCAUAACAUAUCAUGGCCGCCUUGAUUUGCCUUGCAACACUUCACGCCUAACAACUCGUCAUAAGUGUUUUUAGGACAUUGAAAUCACUAUGUUGCCAUCAUGAUUUUUAAAAGCCCUUUAUACAUCACAACUCAAAAACACCUUUCACGUGGGCUCGUUUUAAAUAACUUAGUGAGUAAUAAGCACUACAUAUGUGAAUAGAAACAAGAGUAUAACAUCAUUAUGUUAACUACAAAAGUAACUAUGGCCAACAAGACAAAAUAACAACCCAUUAAGGCAUCUUAACAUAAUAUUCGUAAUGUAAAUGUAUGUCCUUCGCGUUCAGUUUUAACCUUCAUAAUAACACUUAUCACGAUUAAAAUUUUCUAAAUUCCAGUUGUAUCACUUUAAAAUUUGAAAGGUACCACUUAUCUUGACACCACUUGUCUUUUAAUGAGAAAUUAAAGAUGUCACUUACAUCUCUAGACACCACUUGUGUCUUUAAUAGAGUUAAAGACGACACAUACCUCUUUAGACACAACUUAUGUCUUUAAAGGAGUUAAAGAUGUCACAUACGUUGUUUAGACACCACUUGUGUCAGUUUAAAGGUUCAAAAACACCACUUGUAUCUUUCAUAAGUUUAUUAACCAUCUUUAACUUUCAGUAACAUAAUGGAUUACAAUACCACUCUAUUCAUUUCAUAUCAUUUAUGCUUAAUCCAACAUAAACCAUAUCUAUAGUAACCUUUUUUUAAGCAACCUACUUAUAAAUAUGGAAAUUUCCAUAGCACCUUUCCACUUUUAUAAACAGGUGUAUUUUUAGCACUAACUAGUUUACUAACUCAGAAUUAUUAAUUUAAUUCCAAUCAUUAAGGUUUUAACCACCUUUGAUCAAGGAUAAUAAUCCACUUUUAAGGCAACACUCGAUUAACAAGCAAUUUUUUUCUUAAUUCCGUAUUUUUGCGAGUUAUUUACCAUAGUUAACUAUCACUUAAAUAAUACAACAAUUUACACAUCAAAUCCUCUAAACAUACGACUUUAAGUUUGAAUCCCAACUUCCAAUUAUAAGGUACAAUAAACAAUUACCACUUUGUUUCCAUCUUUACUUGAGUUAUCUGUUUUAUAUCAUCCUUAAAUUUUAACAUAUGGUGUCAAUUCAUCAAACCUCUUACUCAUGUAGGAAUCCUAAUUACCAUAAUAACUCAGCUAAUAAGAACAUGGAAUCAUACCUUCAACAUAUGAGUUUGAUUCACCACAAUUAAGGGUUCUUAUCAAUUUAUGAGGGUUUACUUCAUCAAUUAAGAAAACCAAACAAUAAAAUCUGAAGUAUGUUUUUCUCGUCCCCCAACAAUCGCCCUUUCAAUGUCUCUGAGGUUUAGGUGUUUGAUUUGAAGAAAUUCUAUGAAAUAUCGUCUUUAUAUAUUUCUAAGAUGGUCUACGCGAUGUACAACUCACGUAGUUACGCGCAUUAACUUGGUCAAUGUAAGUUAUGCAUUUUGCCUUGUACCUCACCUUAAAAAUGUUAUCUAUGUGAGUUUUUAAGAGUUUCAGUUAAAAAUGUUACAUGGUAUGUGGUUAUUUACUAUGCAGUUUAUGUGAUUACGUGCAGCUCGAUCAUAUACAUGUUCCAGAAAACAUGAUAACAACAUCAUUUCAAGUCUUGAUAACAUAAGGAACAGAACAACAAACCAUUUUUUUUUUGACCUCAUAACACAGUCUGCUAUGAUCUUUUAUUUUUGAUUGUUCCACCAACUGCAACUGCAUCUGUUAUCCACCUUUUCUUUGCAGACUUUUUUUUCAAUAAACAGUCAAACCAUAACAUGAAUUGCAAUAAAACCNUUAACUUGGUCAAUGUAAGUUAUGCAUUUUGCCUUGUACCUCACCUUAAAAAUGUUAUCUAUGUGAGUUUUUAAGAGUUUCAGUUAAAAAUGUUACAUGGUAUGUGGUUAUUUACUAUGCAGUUUAUGUGAUUACGUGCAGCUCGAUCAUAUACAUGUUCCAGAAAACAUGAUAACAACAUCAUUUCAAGUCUUGAUAACAUAAGGAACAGAACAACAAACCAUUUUUUUUUUGACCUCAUAACACAGUCUGCUAUGAUCUUUUAUUUUUGAUUGUUCCACCAACUGCAACUGCAUCUGUUAUCCACCUUUUCUUUGCAGACUUUUUUUUCAAUAAACAGUCAAACCAUAACAUGAAUUGCAAUAAAACCCCAUAACUCUAGCCAUAUAUUCUGCCAGAUUCCAUUACUAUGGCCCAAAAUAGCAUGAAGAAUCAUCUUCUGUUGUAAUCACUCUUCCACAACAUUAACCAACUCAUACUCAACCAGUGAAAGAUUGUUAUCCUCUUUUACCUUGAAAUUAGCUGCUUCUGUCACCUCCACACGUCCCCAUUUGUCCACUGCAAGCCUCAUUGAUCCCUUAAACAUGUCAAUUUUGGCAUUUCGCAGAAUUACAGUGUUGUCAGCUUUCAUCAAGUCCACUGCAACCAUGGGAAUAAAAUAAAUUUCACCAAAAUAGAUUAAUUUAUAAUUUGGUGAAGUGAAACUUGAAAGUUACCUUGGUUGUUUCUUGCAGUGAAAACUAUAGUCCCUGUUUCAUCUCCAACCAAGCAUUCAGCGAUUUGCAUUUGGCGAAGCUGUGGGCCAUCUGGUCGGCCUUUCUGCAACACCAGCUUGGAGCUAACAACUUUGACAGUCAGAUUGUGGCCACUGGUUCCAGGUCGCAGUUGAUCCACCUUUGUGAAAACAGGUUUCCUCAUACCUGACUUUGUUUCAGCCAUUAUCUACACUUGUUCAAAACAACAAUUGGUGUCAAUGUCAAUGAGAUAAGAUAAAACUAUCGACAUCCACUCAGCAUUUGCAGAAAUCCGUUGUUUUUAACCUAUGUUUACGACUCUAGUAAAAUAAAAUUGGGGUUAUCAAUAACAAAAACAUGAAAUGCCUAAUCUAUGAUGAAAUUCGGGCAGUGUGAUUCAAUUUUUUGAGAAGUGACCAUAAACAUGGAAAUCAAGAAAAACAGAAUUCGAUAUCGCCAUCAAAAUUUUGAGAACUGAUCACAAGUUUGGUUAAAUUGGAACGAAAUAUUUGAAAAGGUAUGAAUCUGUUCUUCCUUUUUUUUCCAUGAUUGUUUCGUUAUAACCGAUCCAUAUAAACCAUGACGUACUUAAUAAUUACCGAAGAAACAAGAUGCAUCAGUAAAAUUCAAAAAUCGAUCGAUACAAUUCAUUGGAAUUAUGCAGAUACGAAAAGUGUUAGAUAAGACGACGAUGAUGGAAGGAAGAAAAACUGAAAGAAUUAACGAGAUGAUAUGCAUAAUUACCUUUAUCCGAUUCCUUGUGCCGAACAGAAAUGACGUUUUGCGAUAGCAGAUGGAUUGAUCUGUUUCUUUUUCUUAUUCGUUUUGUUCGUGCUACCCUGAAAAUCGGCUGAAGAAUGAGGUUUUGAUUUAACAGUGACCGUUGAUUUUCCCUAAUUUCUCAAUUGCAUCUUGAUCGUCCACGUUUCUAGUGCCCAUGGAAAUCGGCUGAAGAACGGUUUCCUCUUCAAAUAGAAUAAUUGUUUUCCUUUUUUACUUCUUUAAAAUAUCUUCCCAGCUUUUUUAAUCACUAAAAAGAUAACUAACAUCUUAAUCGAUAAGUUCGUGAAAAACAAACUAUCUUCAUAAUUUAACACUUUUUAAGUUUUAUAAUUGUAGUUUAUCUAUCAACUUAUAGUAUUUUGGUAAUAAUAGAAAGAUAAACUUUUGAUAAACAUUCACAUAUAUUAUAAACAUUCACAUAUAUAAAAAUUAAGGCUCUAUUUAGCAUGUCAUAACGCUAGUUUAUUUUCAAUUUUUUUAGGUUUUCAAGAGAAUACCUAAUAACUUAGCUUUUUAAAAGUUAUUUAGACUAAUUUUUAAGUAGUUUUUUUACAAUUCUUUCAAAAAUACCUUUAAUUAAUUAUAAAAAGAAAAUUUAAUUACUUUUUUAUCUCAUCAUAUAUUUUUCAAACGCUAUUUUUAAAUCAUAUUUUAUCAUUUAGGCUUUUAGGCUAUACUAACACACUCACACUAAAGAAGAUCUAACAAAUCCUCCCAUAUAAAAGAAGAUUGUUGAACUUGGGGUUGCUUGGUUGGUCCAUAAACAUAUAUGUUCAUGGUCUUUUUAUAAGUUUCUUUUGUAGGGUGUCCAUGAAAAUGACUAUUUUUCUAAGGUAGUUAUAAUAAAUUUAUAACCAUCAUCCUGGAAACUAUUUAAAUUACCAACAUCAUGGUUCAAAAAUAAGGUGAGGCACGCCUUCAGACGAUGUAAUGAAAAAACGUACUUGUGGUGGCGCCUCAUAUGGUCUAAUUGAGGCAUGUGCCUUAGCUAAACGACACACAGCCUCGAGGCGUAAGGCUAGGCGAGAGGCACUUGUUAGGCUGGAGGGAGUGGUGUCACCGAAACCGCACUCCCUCCCCCGCCACAUCAGCGUCAUGUCACUUUUUACCAUUCAAGUGUGGUUUCUUGCCACACUUUUCAUUUCUUUUAUUUUUUUGUUUUUUUAAGUAUUUUAAUUUAAUAAAACUUCUUUUUUUAACUAAUUUAAUUUAAUAUACCUUCUAUUUUAAUAAAAAAAAAACAUAAUUCUUCAUUGCUUGAAAAUUAAAAAAAUAAAAAUAAAAAAAAAAACAGUACAUUGUGUUACCAAAAAAAAAAGAAAAAAAACCACACACAUGACAUUUAAAUAACCCUAGAAACUUAAAAAAACAUAAAUAAAAUAACUAAAGCAAACUAAAUAAAGUCGUUCUCCGAGAACUCGUCUUCGGGGUCAUCCGGUGGAUCCAAAUUAAGAUUAAUGUUUUGAACCCCGUAAAUGUGUUCCACCAAGUCAUUACGAAGAUUGUGAAAUGUUUCGGUGCAACGUAUCUCUGCUCUCCUGUUUAUAUACUCUUCCUCACCAAUUUCUAUUGGUUGUGUCUCUGGUACGAUUUCUUCCUCGUCAAACGCACAUAUCGCUCUUCCUUCAUCUUCAAUAAUCAUGUUAUGCAAUAUAAUACAUGUAUACAUGAUUUCUUGAAGUUUUUCCUCGCCCAAAUAAGCUGCUGAUUUUUUCAAUAUGAACCACCGUUUCUUCAGAGCUCCAAAAGCACGCUCAACAUCCUUCCUAUCUCUUUCUUGAGCUCUCUUGAAUUUCUUUCGUCUAGAACCAUGUGUAGCUGAAAACGAUUUAACAAACACAGCAUACUCAGGAUAGAUUCCAUCGACCAGAUAAUAACCAUACUUAUAUGGCGUUCCACGCACUUGAAAAAAAAGAAUCUGGUACGAAUCCAUCGUAUAUGUUGUUAAAUAUUGGUGAACGGUUAAAAACAUUGAUGUCGUUAAUCGAACCAGGAGAACCAAAAAAAGCAUGCCAAACCCACAUAUCUUGUGAUGCAAUUGCUUCAAGUAUGACCGUUGGGUAACCAUGAUCACCUCGGGUAAAUUGCCCAUGAUAUGUUGUAGGGCAAUUUUCCCAUGCCCAAUGGAGACAAUCUAAGCUCCUAGCACUCCAGGAAACCCAUGCACACUAGCAUGAUGAGCUUGCAAUUGCAGGAUGUCAUUAAGUGUAGGCUUACGUAAAUAUUUUGGACCAUAAAACUGAAUCACAGUUUUGCAGAAAAAAUGGAGACUAUCUCGUGCUAUCCUAGCAGACAUUGUAACGCCUGUGUUUCGGGCUUGCCAUUUGUAGCAAUGUAAUAGUCUAGGUUAACCUUUGUAACCCGUUUUGAAAUAAUAAGAUUAUAUUAUUUGAGUAUUAUGUGUUUUGUGCUUAAUUGCUUAAUUAUGUGGUUUGAUUAAUUAAGAAUAAAAAUAAGCGUCAAAAUUUAAGUGUAAAAUAAACUUAAUAUCUUUGGUUAAUGUUGUAGUAGUUGAAACGAGGUUUCCGAAUAUAUAUAGAACGCCCAAAUCUGACUUCGUAUGAGGAAGUUAUGAUUUAUCGAAGUUCCGGCUUAGCGAUAUACAGCCUGUUUUACUCGAUUUGAGAUCGAGCGGUUGUUAGCCGAAGCAAUCUAAAUGAGAAUCGAAGAUCUCAUUGUUGGUAUUGAAACGAUAAAAAGUUAGGCGAUAACGGACGUCAAACGAAGAAGUUAUGAAUUUAUAACGAAAGUUUCUGUCCCGGCCUAUUAAAAAUAAUUAAUAAAAAUAAAGUCAAAAUUAGCCGACGGAGUCUAAACGAAAGUCGUAGAGCAUGGUCUCACCUUCGCGUGGAUAUAAAGAACGUCGAAAACGGAGUUCGUAUGAAGAAGUUAUGAAUUUCCGAAGUUUAUUAAUCAUUUUGUAUUUAUAUUUAAAUCAAAAUUCGGAAGCAUUAUCCGAAGGAGUCACCGAUCUGAUCCGAGGUACGCCCCGCGUACUCGAGUACGCCCCGCGUACUCCGAGGGAUGUCGACACUCGCACUCGAGCACUUCGGAUACGUAAGCAAUGACGUUUUGGGCAGUACGCCCCGCGUAACGCAGUACGCCCCGCGUACUCCGAGGCUCCAGCCUCCUAUAAAUAGGAUGCGAGGGUUCCGGGUAUUUUUGCCAAUUCCCUCUCGUUUUCGUGUCGAAGCUCUGUGCAAAAACCCCCGAAGCUACCCCGAAGUCCCGGUAUCAUACUCUAGCCCCGAGGCAAGUCCCGAGAUCCCGAAGAUCCCGAAAAGUGCGGUUCCCGAGUCGAAGCUCUGCCCGCGAGAAGUUCGAUUUUCGAGAAGAUCUUCCAGAUCUGCUGUGGAUUACUACUUCUAUAAGCCGUAGUGCUGUCCGAUCAUCUUCUGAUCAAGUGAGUGUGUAGUUAUUUCUUCUAAUACAAUAAUACGAAGUAUUUUAUAUAAAAAUACGUGCUAUGUGUAUAUAUUUGGUUGUGUUAUGUGUGAAUGAGUAUUCACUCUCUUCUAUCUUAUAGAUCUGCUUAUUUCUUUAUGAGAUAUGUGUUAUGUGUGUGUGUGCCUCAUCUGUUAUGUGAUAUAUGUGUUGAUUAAAGCAUGCUAUACAGGUUUUCUUUAAACUAUGUAUACAAAUGUAUAUUUUUAUCUACUAAUAUGUUGGGUAGAACAUGGGUAGACAGUUGGUGUGUAAUAAACAGAUGAGAGGCCUCGUUGUUGUUUGAUUGAGUCAUCUAGCGGAGUUUAGAUGACGACCACUGGCUAUUCUAGACAGUCUUGUGGAAACAUUAGCAGGUUCGCCACCUGUAGGUGUUAAUGAACUUGGGUGUUCAUUCGCUGUACUCCAUCCCCCUCAUGGUUGCCUUAUUUGACUUAUAUUGCUGAGGUACCCCCGAAGCAUGUGUUGUCGCCCCGAUGAAAUAUUCUUAGACUAGGUCCCUUAUGUUAGUUGUUUUAGGGACAUUAAAGUGAGAAUAACGGGAAUGGGUAAUUGGGUUAUUGUUGGUUGGUGAAAAUUAAAUAUGAUAUUUAUUGUGGGUUGAAAACCCUAUAUGCUCACCAGGCUCCCAAGCCUGACCCACUCAGUUUUAAAUUGUAUUACAGGUAGUGGCGGAAGGGCAUGAGAUGGAUGAACCAUCAAGUUGUUUUGUUUACAAGUCUGCAUAUGUUUAUAUUUGUUAUAUGACUUGUAAUGUAUUCGUUUAUGCUUAUUGGUCUGUAUCGAAACAUGACACCCCGAGUUUUGAUUAUAAUGAAAAUACAUUUCUUUUAUGAAAUGCUUCGGUAAACAAUGUUUUAUCAUGUUUUGUUUUUGGAACAAAUUCNAAUGAAAAUCGGUCUUUUCUAGCCGAGAUUUUGGGGAUGUCACAGACAUCCUAACACUUUCGUCUAACGCAUCAGGCGGAAUGCCAUAUGCUAACUGACGAAGUGCGGCCGUGCAUUUUUGUAAGGGAGUGAAACCGAGUGUACCUCUAGCAUCGUAGCGUUGUUGGAAAAAAAACGGCACUCCCUCGUUACAUCUUCAACUAUACGUUCGAAUAAACUUUUGAGCAUUCUGAAGCGCCUACGAAAAUAAUACCCUUGUUAAGUGGCAUUCUCUGCAAAAUAGUCUUGCACCAAACGUUGGUUGGCUUCUUCACGAUUUCUGUAAAUAUAUCUUCGUGUUCUCUGUUGAGAACUUGCAGCUGCGUUGUUACAUACAACGUUGUAUGUUUGUUCCGCCAUUUGAACACACGCAAUAGCGGUAUCAAAAAUAGUCUGAAAUUCUUCAGAAGAUGAAAAAGAUGACAUUUUUGGGAGAGUGGUGAUUUAAAAAAAAUGUUUUUGAGAGAUAGAGGAGAUUGUGUUGUGUAAAAAAAAGUUAGACAAAACUUCAAAAAUGGUCCCUGUGCUUUUCGAAAAUAUCAAGUUUAGUCCCUAAGUUCAAAAAACCUCACAGAUGGUCCUUGUGGUUUCAAAACUUUUAACAUUUGAUCCUUCUGGCUAACUCCGUUACUAUUUAACCGUUAAGUCAGGGGCAUUUUUGUCAUUUCACUACACAGGGACCAUUUAUGAGGUUUUCAAAUACUUUCUUUUAAAUAAAUAAAUAAAUAUAUAAUAUUUAAUAUAGGGGUCCCACCCCACCCCAUCUCUCUCUCUCUCUCUCUUUACAAUUACACCAUUGAACAAACGUAAAUAUUGUUUUGCUCCUUUAUUAAAGAUGAGGGGCUGAUCUGGACAAAGUGAUAGAAACAGUGAGAGUACUCAUCUUCAAAUCGGGGGGAAAGGAAAAACAAAUUGAGCAGCAGAUUGGGUAGCACCGGUGGUGGAGUGGGGUUUUGUGAUGGUUGGGAAAUUACAAGGAGGGGACACAGAGGCGGAAGGUCGUUACCAGCGAGAGUGGCAGUGAAGGGAAAGGCCUUCGAUCCUCAUUUGAUCGAGGAAGAAGAAGCAAGAACAACACAUGACAGGGGGUGGGGGUUUCGUGGGAUUUCUCAGCAGAUAGCAAAGAGGGACGCCGACAGAAGGCUAUCACCGGCGUUCUCCUUUCUUUUUAUGGUUCGAUCGACAGCAAUACGGGAGGGAAUAGAAUUGUGAAGCAGAUCAUGGCACACAACUAUUAGAGGGUGUCUGGUUGUUGAUGUUCGACGAGAGAAAAAUGCAAGGGAGCAGAGGCUGUGAAUGUUGACAGUAGGAGGUGGUAGGGAUGCUCCGGCAGCCUCCUCGUUGGAUUUUUUUGUCUGGUAAUAGAUACAUGAAGAGAGGGAGGAACGGAAGUAUCACAGCAUGUGGUGAGGGUGUUUUUGUGAGGGAACCGAUGGCAGAAGGGAGAAGAGGGAUAGAGGGUUUCUGCCUCCUCUUGGUUGGAAAAAUUGGUCUCCAUGGAGCUUCUUCCACCGGUAAGAGAGAGAGAGAGAGAGAGAGAGAGAGAGAGAGAGAGAGAGAUGGGGUGGGGUGGGGUGGGACCCCUUGCAUAUUAAAUAUUAAAUAUUUAUUUAUUUAUUUAAAAAAAAGUAUUUGAAAACCUCAUAAAUGGUCCCUGUGUAGUGAAAUGACAAAAAUGCCCCUGACAUAACGGUUAAAUGGUAACGGAGUUAGCCGGAAGGACCAAAUGUUAAAAGUUUUGAAACCACAAGGACCAUCUGUGAGGUUUUUUGAACUUAGGACUAAACUUGAUAUUUUCGAAAAGCACAUGGACCAUUUUUGAAGUUUUGUCAAAAAGUUAAGUUGAUAUGUGUAUAUAUAUAGGAAAGAAAAAGCAAAAGAAAAAAAAAAUUGCACGAAUCUUGUUGCAAUUCAACGGUCAAAAAGAUGACCAACCAAUCAGAAUUCACGACCUUUAAGGGCCGCACCGCAGUUUAGGCCGCAGGAAACCAUGCCCUGGGGGCGGUGUUCCAUGCUUAGGUGGCAGCGAACCGCAGUCUCAGACCGCACCACACCGUCUAGCCUUAUAAAACAAUUAAAAUGAAGAGAAAUGUAAUAAUUUUUGUCAGACUGUUUUCCCUUUUUAUCUAUAUAAACAAAAGUACUUUUUUUAACAUAUAGGGCGUGUUUGGCACGGAGCUUUUGGAAGCGUUUGGGAGCUUCUAGCUUUUAGCUUUUGACAAAACGCUCUAGUUUAAACAAAAAGUUUCGUUUAGCAGUACGAGCGUUUAGCUUUUAGUUUUAACAAAACGCUCCGAUUCUAAAAACUACUUCAUGUAGCUUUUAACAAAACGCUCCGGAACUUUUGAAAUCAAUUUCCAUAAUUACCCUUAAAAAUAUAUUUAAAUAUUUUUUUAUUUUUAAUCAAUUGUUUUUUUAUGUAAUUUUAUAUAUUUCAAAAGCUUCCAGCUACUUUUGUCAAACAUUCAUAUAACAGAUAAAAACUACAACUUCCCGCUACCAGCUUCCAGCUAACCGCUACCCGUUACUUUUGUCAAACACGCCCAUAAUAUCAUACAUGAUUAACUUAUAUUGAUGUAACUUUGUUCGAUAGUUUGUUAAUAUAUUUUUAAUAUCAGUUGCUAUUUAGUUAUCUAAUAUUACAAUCUUAUUAAAAAUUAUUUUCUAGUUGAUUAUGAGUUUUUAUGUAACUUUAUUAUUAUUUUAUUAGUUACAUAAUAUUAAAAAAAAAAAAAAAAUCUUUUAUACUACCUCGGUUCGCCUGGAGGCUCGAUUCCAUACUUUUAAACCUUGGCCAACAUGCCUUUUGAGAUUGACACAUUAAAAAAAAAAACAUAUUCUAAACUACUUCUCCUCCCAAAAGAUACUUUAAUACUGUGAAAGUUUUGAACUUGUUCAUGAGUGUCAGACCGGAUUGAUAAGUUUCAAAUUGGGUUGAUGAGUUUUGAACUUGUUCUUCAAUUAAUGUUUUACACAUUUUAUGUUCAACAAUUGUCUGAUUCCAUAACCGCAUACACCAUAAAAUCAAGAGAUCCAAAUUCAUUUCCAUUCAGUUGUCCAUAACUACACCUUACUAUAUUACAAGGUGAUAAAACAACAGCUUAGGAGAUCAACUCAACUUAUUCAGCAGUAAACUCAACCCAUUAAGACUUAAGAGGCAAAUACAGAACAGAUCACCUGUACUGGCUUGCCAGCUCACCCUCCUUGACAAUGUAAUGUUGGGGUGGAAACUCUUCUCCCUUGAAAUAAUUCUCCAGCAUAUCCUUCACUCCAGCCGCAUAUCGCAACUGCAAACAUAUUAUAAAUCACUUCAUAAUUCUAUAAUAUAUCAUAUAUCAAUUGCAAACACAAAUUGAAUGAGAAGAACAUACCUGUGCAUCAAUGGUGGUUCCAGAAAUGUGAGGUGUCAUUGCUUGAUUCGGCAUGUAUCUCCAUGGAUGAUCCUUUGGAGCUGGUUGAGGAUACCAAACAUCUCCACUAUACCCUAAAACACACCAAAAAAAAUAAUAAUCAUCAGUUGAGGGUCAUGAAUUCAUGUCAUUCAUGGGACAUGAAUUCACGUUAAAACAAACCUCCAAUGUGUCCACUAUUACACCCAUCAACAACAGCUUGUGUAUCCAUAAUAGCACCUCGAGCAUUGUUAACAAUCAAAACCCCCUUCUUCAAUUUACCAAUCCUUUCUUUAUCAAACAUUCCUCUGAAACAUACCACAUCAAUACUCCAAAUCAGUAUAAAAACAUCUCAACUUUGACAAAAGAAAUACUAUUACUCACUUUGUUUUCUCUGUUAAAGGGGUGUUGAUGACAAUAAUGUCACAUUUAGGAAGCAUCUUAUCAAGAUCUUCCUCAAAUGUUGCACCAAUUUGAUUCUCCAAUUCCGAAUCCAUCUGAAUCCGAUCAUGGUAAAGAAGAUUACACCCAAAAGGCUUCAAUCGUUGAAGUAAUAGCCUUCCAAUUCGCCCACAACCAACUGUUCCUACUGUUUUUCCUUCAAGAUCAUAAGCUCUGUGAGCAAUACCUGCAACAUUCCAAUCACCAGAGAUAACCUGAUGGUGUCCAGGUAAGAAAUUACGAACAAGAAUAAGGAUCCUCAUAAGUUCAUCUUCUGCAACAGAAACAGUAUUGCUUCCAGUAACUUCUGCAACAGUUAAUCCAGCAGCAGCAGCAGCCUUGAGAUCAACAUGAUCAGAUCCAAUUCCAGCUGUAAGCAAGAGUUGUAAAUUCUUUGCCUUUUUUAUCCUUUCAGCAGUCACAUAGGCUGGAUGGAAUGGGGUGGUAAUGAGGACAUGUAAAUCGGGGAUAUGUUUUUCUAGUUCUGUAAUGAGAAAUGAUAAUAAGAAGUGAGUGUAUAUGCGUAUAUACUUGUGAUAAAUGUGAGAAAUUUAAAAUGGAGUCAAGUUAGGAGCUUACCACAAUCUGGUCCUUCUUUAUCAUCAGUGACUAUGUACUCAUGGCCUUGUGAUUCCAACCAGUUGCGAAUGCCCAAUGCAUUUUCUGCACAACCCACGAAAUUGGGAUUCAUCUCAGCAUACUCAUGUGCCUUGUAGAAAACACCUACAAUCUUCUUUUUGCCGGAAGAAGCCUGCAGAAGCAAUUGGAGCAAUUUUAAGUUUGCAGGUUUCUACACCUUCUAAAACUCAGAUCUGACUAUCAUCUGAAGCAACAGAUUUAAUACAUGAAAAGUUUAUUUGGGUAUAACAGUUUUCUACAAACAUUUGCCUUUUUGAAAUACCUAUUAUGGUUUAUUUAUUUUGGCAAAAGAGGAUAAUCUCAUUGACGCUUCAACAAAGUUGAAGAGUUAGUACAUACUUGAAGGAGACCAUUUUUUGAUUGUAGGUGAACUAAGUAAAAAAUAAAUUAAGUGAUCUCCGUGUACAGAUCACGAGUGACCGAAUCACGUUAUCGCCAAGAACCACAUGCGUACAGUUAAAAAGACAAAGUAGAAGCACCAAAAGCACAAAGGCACAGUUGAAAAUUUGUAGUUAUCAUCCAAAUCCUAAACAGUGGCAGCGAGUUUCUGACCACAGAUCAGGAAAAGGGACAUUCAAGAACAGCGUAGUUGAGCAGCGAUUGUAGUAUAAGGCUAGAUUAACAAAUUAAAUUGGAAAACCGAAUAGAAACAGGAAUCGAGUAUAGCAAGGGCUUGGGUGGAUAAAAUAGAAUCGCUUACAUGAAGGUGUCUGGUGAGAAUCGAACCGGAAUUAGCAGUGGAAAUAGCACGAGCAGCAGUAGCAGCAGCACGCUUCAUCGCGAUCGCCAUCAUCAUCGCCGUCGCAACGCUGGUGCUCUUUGGAAAUUUGGAUAAAGGCAAACUCAGGAAGACAGUCGAACGUGAAAAUGUUGGACUGCCAAGUCUGUUACAAAAUCGUAGACGUCUCUGACCACCCCCCUUAAAUAAUCGGUGCAUGACAACCACGUGUUCGAAAAGGUUGGUGACAUUAAUUGUAAUCUCGAUAUUA
RNAcentral lists this long non-coding RNA (18755 nucleotides) under Lactuca sativa (garden lettuce). RNAcentral describes it as "long non-coding RNA (LSAT_LNC001811)". Lineage: Eukaryota; Viridiplantae; Streptophyta; Magnoliopsida; Asterales; Asteraceae. The record is from RNAcentral.